Molecule: ribosomal RNA, 549 nt
Filed under: uncultured bacterium
Lineage: Bacteria
Description: partial 16S ribosomal RNA
Source: RNAcentral
UAACCUUGCGGCCGUACUCCCCAGGCGGUCUACUUAAUGCGUUAGCUUGAGAGCCCAGUGUUCAAGACACCAAACUCCGAGUAGACAUCGUUUACGGCGUGGACUACCAGGGUAUCUAAUCCUGUUUGCUCCCCACGCUUUCGUGCCUGAGCGUCAGUCUUUGUCCAGGGGGCCGCCUUCGCCACCGGUAUUCCUCCAGAUCUCUACGCAUUUCACCGCUACACCUGGAAUUCUACCCCCCUCUACAAGACUCUAGUUCGCCAGUUCGAAAUGCAAUUCCCAGGUUGAGCCCGGGGCUUUCACAUCUCGCUUAACAAACCGCCUGCGCACGCUUUACGCCCAGUAAUUCCGAUUAACGCUCGGACCCUCCGUAUUACCGCGGCUGCUGGCACGGAGUUAACCGGUCCUUCUUCUGUAGGUAACGUCACAGCAACAGCGUAUUAAGCUGCUACCUUUCCUCCCUACUGAAAGUGCUUUACAACCCGAAGGCCUUCUUCACACACGCGGCAUGGCUGCAUCAGGGUUUCCCCCAUUGUGCAAUAUUCCCCA